Molecule: long non-coding RNA, 1415 nt
Filed under: Lupinus angustifolius (narrow-leaved blue lupine)
Lineage: Eukaryota; Viridiplantae; Streptophyta; Magnoliopsida; Fabales; Fabaceae
Description: long non-coding RNA (LANG_LNC003733)
Source: RNAcentral
AUAAACCUUGCAUUAUGGUUCAUCAGCAUAAUAACCAACAAUUACAAAAAUUAUACAUAAAGGGAUAUUUACAUGCCCAUCUAUAUUUAUUCUUGAGACAAUUUCAGCAACACCAACAAGGAACAAUAAAUUGAUUGGCAAAUUGUCUCCUAUCUAUUUCCUUCAGAAGAAACUUUCAUGCGACCCAUUAUGUUCUACUCAUAACUUCAUGGUGAUCUUGAGCUUGUGAACCAAACAACCAAUGGAAACCAAUAAUACCCAUGCACUCCAUAUUGGCAUCACUUGCUCCUCCUAUAGUUGGGGUUUUCCUCAGCGAGUUUACGGUUAUAAGCCAGACCCAGAGGUGUCAUCAGAAUCUGUUGAAAUUGAAACAGAUAGAGAAAGUGUUGCGUCACUUGCUAAAGCUCUUUAUACCGCAAUUAGAACUCCUAUCGCAAUCUGUGUUCCUUUACUGCACCUAUUCGAAAGACAGAGAGCAAACGAGAAUGGUUGCAUUAGUUGAACCAGAAAUGCAACAGCUAGAAGUGGAUGACAGCACAAAAUAAGAAUAUGGUGAACUUCAUGAUCAAGAAUCAGAUGAAAAAAUGGUAUAGAAAGUAUCAAGAUUGACAUUGAUUAUUCAAGGGAAGAAAGCAUUGGACAGAGUAUAUUGAACCUCUUGAAUUAAGGAAUAAUGAGGAUCACCUGAAUAAACUCACUGCUCCAGGGCCUGCACAUAUGUUAUGAGUUGUACCUAGACCUUAUUCAUUAGUGAAAUGACUAGUUUUUAUAUAUAUUAAAACGUACAAAGAAUAAGAAAAGCUAAAUCAAUGAAUAAAGAGAACAAUCAGGAAGAAAUUCAAAGAGGCCCAAUUAAAAUGACAUUGACAAUGAGCCAUUUCAGUUACAAUCAUCACAAAUAGCAAUAAUCAUGAAGUAAUUAAAAGAGAACCAAAAGGGUGGUCCAGCCGUAGGGUAUCAACAGGCAGAAGUGCAAAGGUGGCAAUGUAAAGCAUAUACCAGGAAUCCUACCUCAUUUCAGUUAAGUUUGGGAAAAGUCAGCCAUGAAUGUACAUAAAAAAGAUGAAUGGCAGUGUUAUUGCCAUAUCAGUUACAGUUGAGCAUAAAGGCCAGCAGUUAUUUGGGCGUCCUAAGAGGUGCUCUGAAUCAGCUAUAAAAACAUAGGCAAAAGAGAGCCCAAAGGAUGUCAAUCAGGUAAUCAUCGUUUCAGUUACUAAAUAUCAGUAGUCAUAGGCAGAUUUAAUACAGUAAUCAGUAUGCAAUAAUCAGCAUGAGCAAGCAAUCAUUAGGCAGUUUCAAAACACAAGGGUCAGGAUUAUUCCUGACUUUCAAUUAGCAACCCAAAGAGCACCACUACUCAGCUAUAAAAGGAGAGGCAUUACAACCAGAAAAGGGGGGUUCACCACACAAAAAUU